GAGGGUAUAGCUUAAGACGUAGAGUGCAUGUUUAGUGUGCAUGAGGUCCUGGGUUCAAUCCCCAGUAUCUCCU
Molecule: transfer RNA, 73 nt
Organism: Camelus ferus (Wild Bactrian camel)
Lineage: Eukaryota; Metazoa; Chordata; Mammalia; Artiodactyla; Camelidae
Rfam family: tRNA
About the family: Transfer RNA (tRNA) molecules are approximately 80 nucleotides in length. Their secondary structure includes four short double-helical elements and three loops (D, anti-codon, and T loops).
Source: Rfam